This 512-nucleotide ribosomal RNA is filed under the name uncultured bacterium. RNAcentral's name for it is "partial 16S ribosomal RNA". It matches the Rfam family "Bacterial small subunit ribosomal RNA", at positions 28 to 523 of the family's 1533-position model. The record is from RNAcentral.
GACGAACGCUGGCGGCGUGCCUAAUACAUGCAAGUCGAGCGAAUCUUGAGGUGCUUGCACCUCUUGGUUAGCGGCGGACGGGUGAGUAACACGUGGGCAACCUGCCUGUAAGACUGGGAUAACUUCGGGAAACCGGAGCUAAUACCGGAUAAUCCUUUUUCUCUCAUGAGGAAAAGCUGAAAGUCGGUUUACGCUGACACUUACAGAUGGGCCCGCGGCGCAUUAGCUAGUUGGUGAGGUAACGGCUCACCAAGGCGACGAUGCGUAGCCGACCUGAGAGGGUGAUCGGCCACACUGGGACGGAGACACGGCCCAGACUCCUACGGGAGGCAGCAGUAGGGAAUCUUCCGCAAUGGACGAAAGUCUGACGGAGCAACGCCGCGUGAGCGAUGAAGGCCUUCGGGUCGUAAAGCUCUGUUGUUAGGGAAGAACAAGUAUCGGAGUAACUGCCGGUACCUUGACGGUACCUAACCAGAAAGCCACGGCUAACUACGUGCCAGCAGCCGCCGUAA